This 855-nucleotide ribosomal RNA is filed under the name uncultured Oxalobacteraceae bacterium. RNAcentral's name for it is "bacterial SSU rRNA". It matches the Rfam family "Bacterial small subunit ribosomal RNA", at positions 45 to 898 of the family's 1533-position model. Lineage: Bacteria; Pseudomonadati; Pseudomonadota; Betaproteobacteria; Burkholderiales; Oxalobacteraceae. The record is from RNAcentral.
GGCCUAACACAUGCAAGUCGAACGGCAGCGCGGGGCAACCUGGCGGCGAGUGGCGAACGGGUGAGUAAUAUAUCGGAACGUACCCUGGAGUGGGGGAUAACGUAGCGAAAGUUACGCUAAUACCGCAUACGAUCUAAGGAUGAAAGUGGGGGAUCGCAAGACCUCAUGCUCCUGGAGCGGCCGAUAUCUGAUUAGCUAGUUGGUGGGGUAAAGGCCUACCAAGGCAUCGAUCAGUAGCUGGUCUGAGAGGACGACCAGCCACACUGGAACUGAGACACGGUCCAGACUCCUACGGGAGGCAGCAGUGGGGAAUUUUGGACAAUGGGCGAAAGCCUGAUCCAGCAAUGCCGCGUGAGUGAAGAAGGCCUUCGGGUUGUAAAGCUCUUUUGUCAGGGAAGAAACGGUGAAGGCUAAUAUCCUUUGCUAAUGACGGUACCUGAAGAAUAAGCACCGGCUAACUACGUGCCAGCAGCCGCGGUAAUACGUAGGGUGCAAGCGUUAAUCGGAAUUACUGGGCGUAAAGCGUGCGCAGGCGGUUUUGUAAGUCUGUCGUGAAAUCCCCGGGCUCAACCUGGGAAUUGCGAUGGAGACUGCAAGGCUAGAAUCUGGCAGAGGGGGGUAGAAUUCCACGUGUAGCAGUGAAAUGCGUAGAGAUGUGGAGGAACACCGAUGGCGAAGGCAGCCCCCUGGGUCAAGAUUGACGCUCAUGCACGAAAGCGUGGGGAGCAAACAGGAUUAGAUACCCUGGUAGUCCACGCCCUAAACGAUGUCUACUAGUUGUCGGGUUUUAAUUAACUUGGUAACGCAGCUAACGCGUGAAGUAGACCGCCUGGGGAGUACGGUCGCAAGAUUAAA